CCUACGGGGGUCAGCAGUGGGGAAUAUUGCUCAAUGGAGGAAACCCUGAUGCAGCCACGCCGCGUGAGUGAAGAAGUCUCUCGGUAUGUAAAGCUGUAUCAGCAGGGGAGAAAAUGACGGUACCUGACUACGAAGCCCCGGCUAACUACGUGCCAGCAGCCGCGGUAAUAAGUAGGGGGCAAGCUUUAUCCGGAUUUACUGGGUGUAAAGGGAGCGUAGACGGCGGUGCAAGUCCGGAGUGAAAGCCCAUGGCUUAACCAUGGUACUGCUGUGGAAACUGUGGAGCUUGAGUGCGGGAGGGGCAGGCGGAAUUCCUGGUGUAGCGGUGAAAUGCGUAGAUAUUAGGCGGAACACCGGCGGCGAAGGCGGCCUACUGGACCGUAACUGACGUUGAGGCUCGAAAGCGUGGGGAGCAAACAGGAUUAGAUACCCGUGUAGUC
This 440-nucleotide ribosomal RNA is filed under the name uncultured bacterium. RNAcentral describes it as "partial 16S ribosomal RNA". It matches the Rfam family "Bacterial small subunit ribosomal RNA", at positions 338 to 795 of the family's 1533-position model. The record is from RNAcentral.